AAGAGAGUAGAUGAAACGGAGGGGGAAAGAGUUGUUUGCUUUGGAAUGGACAUCCACUUUAUCUAUCCAUACAUUUAUUUUGUUAUCUCUGUGUCUUAUCUAUAAUUUACUGGAAAAGUGACUAAGUAUAAACACAUGCCUGGGCCUGGCAGGAUGAGAGGUUUGCGGAGACAAAGGGGAUCAAGGAGGGGCAUGGUGUCGAGAGGAGGUGCAAUGAACAGAGCUGAUGCCAGUGCCAUGGUUUGUGCCAUCGGAAAGAUUCUGUGUUUAACAUUUUAGACAGGUGGACAGUUUGAUCAGACCACAUUCACAUCAAGGGGGGUGUUCAGAGGAUGAGGUAGAGGAAGAUGGGGUAGACUGAGCAGGUUCAACACACCUUCCUGUGUUUUAAACUGUUUAAUCUUAAAAUGUGAUUCACAUUUGACUCCCAGUGCAGCACUUUUAAGUACUAAAGAGGGGACAAUUCAUGAAUAUUGUGCUUUUGUGUUUUAUCCAAACUUAUAGGACCAGUAAAAUCCAGAAACUUAGUCUGAGUUGCAAUAAAUCCAAAGUAUUUUCUGAAGAUUUAGAUUUCUCCACAAUUCCAAAAUCAGCAAAAGAGAAGUGGUACAGCUGUGCAGGCGGAAACAGUAACUCAUGAGAACUAGUCAUCACUGGGAGCUUGUCUUCCAAUGCAUUGGAAUCAAUCACAACUCUUUGGUUUCUGUCUAACUGUAAACACUGACAGCAAAAAAGAGAGGCCACAAAAAUAUUUUCAUGCAGCCAAGGUAUGCUCAGUGUAGCUUCUCCAUCAUCAAGGAGAA
This is a long non-coding RNA of Myxocyprinus asiaticus (Chinese sucker), 803 nucleotides long. RefSeq lists it as uncharacterized. The record is from RefSeq and is a predicted model, not a curated record. The transcript is spliced from 3 exons. Lineage: Eukaryota; Metazoa; Chordata; Actinopteri; Cypriniformes; Catostomidae.